RNAcentral lists this long non-coding RNA (588 nucleotides) under Struthio camelus australis. RNAcentral's name for it is "lncRNA (ENSSCUG00000001153.1)". The record is from RNAcentral. Lineage: Eukaryota; Metazoa; Chordata; Aves; Struthioniformes; Struthionidae.
AGUUAGUACUUGGGAUAGCAAUACAACUACAUGGUACCAUGAUGAUAUUGCUGUUUUAAGACUGAUUGGUUUAUCCCGAAGUGUGAUAAGUAUGGACAGAUUCACCAAAAGGUACUCAUGACAUCCACCUAACCUUGUGAACUGUUUUCCCUAGAUGACCUAGUUUGGAUUCUGUGGAGAAGUUUUCUGCUUUGACUUGGUUCCUGAAAAUGCUUCUCUUCCCUGAUGCCAGGCACUAGUCAGCUAAGUUGUCUUUGCAGGAGAUAUCGCCUCUUGGAGAGGAUAGAAAAAUAAGAACAGAAACUGGAGUCAUUUACAGUGGUGAGAACUUUUAUAUUUCUCUUUGCUAAUCAUUAUGUGACUGGCAUGUGACGAAGUAAGCUUGGAAACUCGUAAGUCACACUUUCAACCUUUCCUUUACAACAGAGCUCAUUGCUGAGCUGUCUUGCUAAAGCUGAUCAGUGUCACAUGCUACAGUGAUUGCAGGAAAAAGUGACAAAUGCAACAAUUGAGAAAAUAGUGCUUUCCAAAUUCCUUAUCCUGCAUCUUUGUCAUCUUACAAAGACCAAAGAGAUUAGUGGAUAAUUG